GAUGAACGCUGGCGGCGUGCUUAACACAUGCAAGUCGAACGGAAAGGCUCCUGCUUGCAGGGGUACUCGAGUGGCGAACGGGUGAGUAACACGUGGGUGAUCUGCCCUGCACUUCGGGAUAAGCCUGGGAAACUGGGUCUAAUACCGGAUAGGACGAUGGUUUGGAUGCCAUUGUGGAAAGUUUUUCGGUGUGGGAUGAGCUCGCGGCCUAUCAGCUUGUUGGUGGGGUAAUGGCCUACCAAGGCGUCGACGGGUAGCCGGCCUGAGAGGGUGUACGGCCACAUUGGGACUGAGAUACGGCCCAGACUCCUACGGGAGGCAGCAGUGGGGAAUAUUGCACAAUGGGCGCAAGCCUGAUGCAGCGACGCCGCGUGGGGGAUGACGGCCUUCGGGUUGUAAACUCCCUUCGCUAGGGACGAAGCGCAAGUGACGGUACCUGGAGAAGAAGCACCGGCUAACUACGUG
Molecule: ribosomal RNA, 465 nt
Filed under: uncultured bacterium
Lineage: Bacteria
Description: partial 16S ribosomal RNA
Rfam family: Bacterial small subunit ribosomal RNA
Source: RNAcentral